RNAcentral lists this long non-coding RNA (1243 nucleotides) under Ananas comosus (pineapple). Its description in RNAcentral is "long non-coding RNA (ACOM_LNC041440)". Lineage: Eukaryota; Viridiplantae; Streptophyta; Magnoliopsida; Poales; Bromeliaceae. The record is from RNAcentral.
GUAUUUAGUGGAUGCCGGAGUUCGUUGUUUGCGAUGACGAUCAGCUCGUCUCGAGCUAGGCAGUUGAUUAGCAGAUGUUGCGUAGCCUAUUUGGCUAGUGUUGUGCUGAGGGGCAAGGAUGAUACCCCUAGGAUCGAGGAUAUCUCGGUGGUGCGAGAGUUCCAGGAUGUGUUUCCAGCUGAACUGCCGGGUAUGCCUCCUGAUAGGGAGAUUGAGUUUGUGGUAGAUCUCGUCCCGGCUCUGUGGAAAUAGUGGGGUGAGAACUACAACAAAGUUCCCAGUGGGUUCGGCCCCAAUAUCACCGACUUUUUCCACUAGGACUAACUCAGGCAUAAUAGAAAGGAUAAGUAGGAUAUAGUAACCAAUCUAUAACAUGAUGCUAAUACGCCUGAACAAAUAAAGCAGAAAUAUGCUCAACAUUAAAUAAAUGCAGAUUAUGCAAAUUCUUUGUUCUUUUCACGUUACUCUUUGUUCUUUGUUCUUUGUUCUUUGUUCUUUAUUCUUUAUUCAUUAAUCUCAAGGCUAACCCGGGGGUUUCGCCACAUUAAACUUGCUUCACAUUAAGUCCAUCAUCGCAGGAACUCACCCGCUAGGACCGUCCUUACGGGUCUACUCCAACCCGUGAUGCAUAACUCCGGAGCGCAUCGCCCGAGGGGGAGCGACCGCCCUCGAGCACGGAACUCAUAGCAAGUAUGAUCGAAAUCCUUAACUCAAAGGAUUGUAUGUUCAAUCUCGACUUUACACUAACUCUAGUGUUCAUUACAUCACUUUAUGUUGCCACUCUAGUAAUCAUUGCUCUUUGCAUUUCUUUUACUUUUGCUAACUCUAGCAAUCACAUUCUUUAGCUUUACACGUUCUUUAUUCUUUAUACGUUCUUUAUUGCUCUCUUUGCUUUAGCUUUAGUGAUCGUCAUCAUUCUUUAUAUCACUUCGAUUCUUUGCUUCACACUAACUCUAGUGUCACUUUACUUUACAUUAUUUAGAUGCCACUCGAUCUAUGUCACAGUGUCACUCUGUUCUUUUGCUCACUUUGGGUGCUCACAUUUUCUCUCAUGCAUACAUCUAGGGUUUUGACAUUAUUAGGUUCUCAACCAUCUCAUUAUGCAAGUUGUGCUCACAAUCAUGCAAUCAUCACAUUUCAUCAUUACUUUACCCUAAAAUGCAUGCAACGAUAUAUAGAACAUAUGCUCAAAGAAUAACACAUUAGGCAUAGAGAGAAUUUCAAUGAGUUUGGAAAGCACCAC